Molecule: ribosomal RNA, 253 nt
Filed under: uncultured bacterium
Lineage: Bacteria
Description: partial 16S ribosomal RNA
Rfam family: Bacterial small subunit ribosomal RNA
Source: RNAcentral
GACAGAGGGUGCAAACGUUGCUCGGAAUUACUGGGCGUAAAGCGCGUGUAGGCGGACUGGUGUGUCGGAUGUGAAAUCCCCAGGCUCAACCUGGGAACUGCAUUCGAAACUGCCAGCCUUGAGUGGUGGAGAGGGAAAUGGAAUUCCUGGUGUAGAGGUGAAAUUCGUAGAUAUCAGGAGGAACACCAGUGGCGAAGGCGGCUUCCUGGACACCAACUGACGCUGAGACGCGAAAGCGUGGGGAGCAAACAGG